ACGGAGGAUGCAAGCGUUAUCCGGAUUUAUUGGGUUUAAAGGGUCCGCAGGCGGACUUGUAAGUCAGGGGUGAAAUCCGGCAGCUUAACUGUCGAACUGCCUUUGAUACUGCAAGUCUUGAGUGAGAAUGAAGCAGCUGGAAUGUGUGGUGUGGCGGUGGAAUGGCUAGAUAUCACGCGGAACACCGGUGGCGUAGGCAGGUAACAAGUGCUCAACUGACGCUGAGCGGCGAGAGCGUGUGGAGCCAAGAG
This 251-nucleotide ribosomal RNA is filed under the name uncultured prokaryote. Its description in RNAcentral is "partial 16S rRNA". It matches the Rfam family "Bacterial small subunit ribosomal RNA", at positions 525 to 775 of the family's 1533-position model. The record is from RNAcentral.